UACGGGGGGGGCAAGCGUUGUUCGGAAUUACUGGGCGUAAAGGGCGCGUAGGCGGCCUUCUAAGUCGGACGUGAAAUCCCUCGGCUUAACCGAGGAACUGCGUCCGAUACUGAAAGGCUUGAAUCCGGGAGAGGGAUGUGGAAUUCCAGGUGUAGCGGUGAAAUGCGUAGAGAUCAGGAGGAACACCCGUGGCGAAGGCGGCACUCUGGGUCGGCCCUGACGCUGAGGCGCGAAAGCGUGGGGAGCGAACGGG
Molecule: ribosomal RNA, 253 nt
Filed under: uncultured bacterium
Lineage: Bacteria
Description: partial 16S ribosomal RNA
Rfam family: Bacterial small subunit ribosomal RNA
Source: RNAcentral